RNAcentral lists this ribosomal RNA (200 nucleotides) under uncultured bacterium. Its description in RNAcentral is "partial 16S ribosomal RNA". It matches the Rfam family "Bacterial small subunit ribosomal RNA", at positions 30 to 230 of the family's 1533-position model. The record is from RNAcentral.
AUUGAACGCUGGCGGCAUGCCUUACACAUGCAAGUCGAACGGCAGCACGGGGGCAAUCCUGGUGGCGAGUGGCGAACGGGUGAGUAAUACAUCGGAACGUGCCCAAUCGUGGGGGAUAACGCAGCGAAAGCUGUGCUAAUACCGCAUACGAUCUACGGAUGAAAGCAGGGGAUCGCAAGACCUUGCGCGAAUGGAGCGGC